This 427-nucleotide ribosomal RNA is filed under the name uncultured bacterium. RNAcentral's name for it is "partial 16S ribosomal RNA". It matches the Rfam family "Bacterial small subunit ribosomal RNA", at positions 355 to 774 of the family's 1533-position model. The record is from RNAcentral.
UGGGGAAUAUUGGACAAUGGGCGAAAGCCUGAUCCAGCCAUGCCGCGUGUGUGAAGAAGGUCUUCGGAUUGUAAAGCACUUUAAGUUGGGAGGAAGGGCAUUAACCUAAUACGUUAGUGUUUUGACGUUACCGACAGAAUAAGCACCGGCUAACUCUGUGCCAGCAGCCGCGGUAAUACAGAGGGUGCAAGCGUUAAUCGGAAUUACUGGGCGUAAAGCGCGCGUAGGUGGUAUGUUAAGUUGUAUGUGAAAUCCCCGGGCUCAACCUGGGAACUGCAUUCAAAACUGACUGACUAGAGUAUGGUAGAGGGUGGUGGAAUUUCCUGUGUAGCGGUGAAAUGCGUAGAUAUAGGAAGGAACACCAGUGGCGAAGGCGACCACCUGGACUAAUACUGACACUGAGGUGCGAAAGCGUGGGGAGCAAACA